This is a long non-coding RNA of Chinchilla lanigera (long-tailed chinchilla), 1071 nucleotides long. RefSeq lists it as uncharacterized. The record is from RefSeq and is a predicted model, not a curated record. The transcript has 4 exons. Lineage: Eukaryota; Metazoa; Chordata; Mammalia; Rodentia; Chinchillidae.
AUGAAUUUCAACUUUAGGUACCCAGUCAAGAACAUCAGUUGGCAUGCUCUCAACUAGCGGUGGGGCCUUAUUGCUACAUCUCACAUGCUAGAAGGUAGAAAAGCAGAAGGACAGUUGCUGAAUGAAGCCUCUUGUAUAAUGGCCUCAAUUCUAUACACAAGGAGCCCUCAUGAUCUGAUCAUCUCCUGCUUCUUAAUCCUGUUACCCCGGAGAGACAUGAAUUAUUACAAAGAAGCUGAAAUUGGACAACUGUACUUGAUAACAGUGAGAAGCAGGGGGGCCCUGGAACUCUUUCUUCCUGACACUUUUGAUCCUUCUUCCUGUCGAGAGUCCGUGAAUGCCGUGGAAUCCCCUUCCGUCUCACAGUGUGCGGGAGCACACAGCACACACAGAAUCACCGUGUGAAAGUCUUGAAAAGGUUUUAAACCUCAGACACAAUAGCUCUGAUUGUGGCCGCUCCCCUCUUGCCAAACUGUCUCCAGGCUGCCAAGUGUGAGGGCAGCUGCUGAAGCAUUGUGUUUCGUUAACACCGAACCUGGCCAGUCAGCAGUUUCUUUGAUCUGAAUGACAAUAGGUUAAAAUUAGUGGGCUGAUACCCAUCGCUUUAAGGAGGAAUGAGGUAAGAUAAAGGUACAAAAAAAGUAAAACAAAAGAGAAGAGGAGAGAGACCCGAUGAACGAACGAACGUAAGAGUGACUUCGAGAUCUGAACGGAAGGAGAGGUGGGAAAACAGGUCACGAAAGAAGAAAGGCGCCCCUGGUCUAAAGGGUAAGUCUGUCCGCAAAUGUGUCCUGAUCAAAGUUGUCCUCUGAUUCAACCAACGAAAGUGGGUAGACAGCAGUGACACGUGGAUGCUGAGGCUACCCGAACGUGGCGUAAAGCAUUGUUCGUAAAGGGGUACUGACGCGCAGUUGUAGAAAGGACCUCAGGUGCCCGCAGGCUUUGCCCGGACACCGUUGCCGCUUUCUCCAGCAUUGCAAUUGAGAGUUACAUGGAGUGAGCGCGACUUUGGUCGGAACCUGGAGCGUCCUCCGAGGCGGCAGCACCGCGGCCACGGCAACAGGCGCGGCG